RNAcentral lists this long non-coding RNA (239 nucleotides) under Capsicum annuum. RNAcentral's name for it is "long non-coding RNA (CANN_LNC004668)". Lineage: Eukaryota; Viridiplantae; Streptophyta; Magnoliopsida; Solanales; Solanaceae. The record is from RNAcentral.
UAUACACUUCCAUAUAAAUUUCCAUGCUAUUUAUGUGUUGUUGUUGUUGUGGCAUGAAGCAUGUGUGAUAAUGGAAAUAUGAAUUAUAUACACGAAAUGUAUCCAUGCUCUCCCUACCAUGUUGAGAUGUGAAUAAAUACAUGAAGUAUACUAUCCCCUACUUAUAAUAUUGUGAAUUGUGGACUCUAAUCUUGUGAUCAAGUCAUGUCAUGUGUGCCAGUUUCCUUCUAUCGAGUCCU